This 516-nucleotide ribosomal RNA is filed under the name uncultured bacterium. RNAcentral describes it as "bacterial SSU rRNA". It matches the Rfam family "Bacterial small subunit ribosomal RNA", at positions 21 to 518 of the family's 1533-position model. The record is from RNAcentral.
GGUUCAGGAUGAACGCUGGCGGCGUGCUUAACACAUGCAAGUCGAACGAAGCACCUCUAAUCGAAGAUUGAGAAAGCUUGCUUUGAUUGAUUCACCUUGAGGUGACUGAGUGGCGGACGGGUGAGUAACGCGUGGGUAACCUACCCUAUACAGGGGGAUAACAGUUGGAAACGACUGCUAAUACCGCAUAAGCGCACAGGACCGCAUGGUCUAGUGUGAAAAAACUCCGGCGGUAUAGGAUGGACCCGCGUCUGAUUAGCUAGUUGGUGAGGUAACGGCUCACCAAGGCGACGAUCAGUAGCCGACCUGAGAGGGUGACCGGCCACAUUGGGACUGAGGCACGGCCCAAACUCCUACGGGAGGCAGCAGUGGGGAAUAUUGCACAAUGGGCGAAAGCCUGAUGCAGCGACGCCGCGUGAACGAAGAAGUAUUUCGGUAUGUAAAGUUCUAUCAGCAGGGAAGAAAAAUGACGGUACCUGACUAAGAAGCUCCGGCUAAAUACGUGCCAGCCGCAGC